This 51-nucleotide transfer RNA is filed under the name Ceratitis stictica. Its description in RNAcentral is "partial tRNA-Thr". Lineage: Eukaryota; Metazoa; Arthropoda; Insecta; Diptera; Tephritidae. The record is from RNAcentral.
ACCAAAAAUAAGACUUAGUCUUUUAAAACUUCAAGAAAAAAGAAAUUAUCU